Pseudopipra pipra is the source of this 3918-nucleotide RNA transcript. It is a transcript of the gene named sterile alpha motif domain-containing protein 1-like, with no coding region annotated. The record is from RefSeq and is a predicted model, not a curated record. The transcript has 6 exons. NCBI's taxonomy places the organism in Eukaryota, Metazoa, Chordata, Aves, Passeriformes, Pipridae.
UAAGAAAGAAAUCACUCAGAAGCUUGACUAGGCUUGCUCACAUGUAGUUACAUUUAGCUGUAAUCUGCCUGGUCAGUUGUAGGAGAAAAAUAGCACUAGUUUGAACUGGAUUGAGUAGCAACGAGACUUUAAUUUGGGGCAGCAGAGAGAAAAUUGUAUAACACUGUUGUGCUGUCCUGAGUGGGAGAACAAUCCAGUGAAUUGCAUGAUUUUUCCGUCUUUGUAAUCAGUUUGUUAUGCAUAGAGCAGUGCCGUGGGAUUCAGCAUUUUAUCUGCUGGGCUUUCCCUGGCAGCAUCUGAAGACGUUCAUUAUAAGUGUUUAUCACAUGAUCCACUUAAUCAAACCACUGAAACUUGGAGAAUAAGUCAUUUUUACAAGACCCUUCAGAGCUGCCUUAUAAGCUACUUACUGAUAUACUCUUCCUUGGUGAGUGUACAAUGAGUUUCCUUGUAUCCCGGUCUAUGAUACAGGAAGUUCAUUAUCCCCAGUCCGAAUUCAGACAUAAAGAAAGGAAGCAGGUCUUACAAAGAAGUGACAGAUAAUUUGCAAAGGAUUUUAGUUAGCCACUCAAAUCGCAGAUAGAGUCAGACUGUAAGCUCUUCAUAAGAACAGCCUUCUGGUAUUCAGCAUUAGGCAUGAGGCAGCUAUCUACAUAGCUGUUUCUAAUGUUGUAAAACACAGACAACACAUGAAAAAAUAUUUUCUUCUUUUGAUUACGGGUCUCCUAGUGGAAGCAUGUGAGAAAAAAGAGAAAUCAGAACUGAACCCAUGUUUUUGGUGGGGUGGUAGCACUGCAUGAUAGCCAGAGCUGAUAACUGAGCUGAUGCAAAAUGCCUUGAAAGCCUGCUAAAUCCAGCUUGCACUAAGGGCCCAAUUUGGCUUUGCCUUCAUGGACAGCAGCAACUAUCACCUGUCUGCCACGGCAAUAGAUGCCUCUGCUUGCUCCAGAUGUCCUUCUCCUGCAGACUAGAGAACACCUCUUGCUAAAAGGAUCGUUGAAACAGAAGAAUAGAAAUAAUCACUGGACCAUUUAAUGUAACCUUGUGUAUCACGUGGUGCAGGAGUUACUUAAUGAAAUUCCCUGGCCCAAACCAAGCAAAUCUGUGGUAAAUCUAGAGCACAUAUUUUCGGAUGACAGCCAAAAUGAUGAAAGGAAUUUACUACCCAGCCUCUCUAAUCAUUUUGAAUGCUUAACUGGGCUCCCUAAUAUGCUGCUUUGCAAGCAGCAAAACUCCCUACACAUUUCUCCAGCCUUGCCCAGGCUGUGCACCUGAAAAAACCUCCCAGCACCCUGCCAGCCCUGUCCAAGGGCAGGGUGGCCAACUGUGCCUGCUGUGAGUGCUGGAUGGGCAGCUGCCCUCCUCUGGGAAGAGACCUCUGCAGGCCAGAACCUCUGCUGCCUCUCCCUUCAAAGCAUGCGGGUUUGGGGCUUGCUCUUUGCUCAGCUUAUUUAAAAAUCUAAAGAAAAGAGUUCUGCCCCAUCAGCUUUGGAAAUAGUUGUUUAACAUGGGAGAGAACAAGCUGAGCCUGCGUAACCCAAGACAACCAAUUCCUUUAGCAGAAAGUGUCUUCUGUCAUCAAAAAGAGCCAUCUGGAAGAGCGUUGGCUCUGUGCCAGGAACAACCCUUUAGCAACUGCUCAACAUACACUUUAAGUUAUAAUGUUCAUAACGGCACAACCUGGAGUGUUGGUAAAGGGCCUAUUGGAGGAGCAACAUAUUCCUCCUCCCGCAGUAACCGCAAAAGGAUGUUCUUCUUAUUCUUUGGCCAGUUAUAAAUGUGGGUGUUCUGCAGCCAGGUAGGCACAUGUUCCUGAAAAAACAAGGAAAAUAAACACUAAAUCCUGUAAAUCCUCCUGAAUCUGUACCAGAACCUUGCAGAUUCUGUCAGGCCCUGCCAAGCAAGAUUUCAUUUUGUCUGUUCUAGGCACUUCCUGUAACAACAAGAAAUUUUAAUUUGGCUUCAGAAUUGUAUUUGGGUUCCUAAAUAAAUGAACUUUGUGUGAUCUCACAGCUUGCCUGUCUCUCUUUCUCUUCUGCCAUCAUGUUGGCUAAUUUCGCAUUUCAAAGGAAGUCUCAUCUCAGUGACAGGCAUCGAAAGGCUUGUGAAAAUAAACACUGAGAAGAGAAGGAAGACAUUUCAGUGUCCUGUGCAGGGAAAGGCUGCCACCUUAGUAGCUGCUAAAGGAUCCAGACAACAUGUUCAACCUUGGAAUGAGAAUCAAUAGGGAAAGAGCGGGACCCCAUGGGAGCAUUUCACAUCUUGGUAGCCCUCUCACCCUCCCCUUGCACCUUCCUUCAACAAGUAUGGUGUUCUCUGACCACCUCCUGAGCAGGAGGUUGAGGCCAAUGCUGAGCUUGAGGAGAGACUAAUGCAUCUCCAGAUUAGCAGGGUCAAACCUCCACCACUCCUUGCACCCUGGGAAAGGUGCAGUCUUUCAUAGGGGUUGGCUAAUGGCCAUUAACAUAAUGAAGCCAGGACCACAAUGGCCCUAGAGAGUGACAGCAGGCUGAUGGAGAGAGACUCACUCAGACUUCAUGUUUGCAUGUUUCCACAGCCUUGUGAGGUUUCCAUAUAGACAGCCUGGAUGUUUAGGGGUGAAGGGCUAUUAUGAUACCAUUAAUUAACAGACAGACUGAUCCUUGAGCAAAACCAGCUCAUGGUCACCAUGAGAUGUAGAUUUCUUUUGGAGAGCUGAAGUUAAAGACACUAGAACACAACCAAAGUGAGAAAGGAGGUAAGCAACACGAGCAGCCAGGACAUCCAGCACUUGCUCCCUGGACCUCUCAUUUAGCAGGCAGUGUUUUCCCAAGGUGGCUCCUGUUAGAAGCAGCACAGUUCCUGUCAAGGUAGUGGAGCUGGCUCCAAGAGGACAGAGCAAAAAGAUGCUGGUGUGAACCACAUCUCUGGCACCUCGCCAGGGGAUGCCCUGGCAUGGGCAGCACAUGUCCUGCCUGCCAGCAAACAAUCUAGCUGCAGUCCAAAUCUUUCUUUUCCAAGUAUCGUGCUUCUCAAAUUGGAUGUCUUUUCCUUGGCCUGUUCAGCUGUAGGAAUGAAGCUGCAUCACUUUCCCUGCUCAGGGAGCAGUUUGUGUUAAUUGUUGCAACCACUUUGUUAGAUCUAUAGCAUUUAUGUAUAGGAAGAAAGAGGUACCUCACUUUCUCUGACUGCCUAUGGAUUUCAUUACUGCAGCUUGUUCAGGCUCUGGUGCUCUCCUUCCACCCAUGACGUCCUCAGUUACAUUAUCAUUAACUAGCUGGAUGAAGAAGAGAGAAGAAGGAAAUCACUGGAAGCCAAUGACUGAGUUGUCCCAGGCUGGUACAGCGCAAAGCUGAAGACCACAGUGAGCCACCAAAUUGACCUUUGCCCUUGAGCAGGAGAGCUCUAAGGUUUCAACUGAGAUAUUUUUCAACCCUUCAUCCCUUUAACCUUCAAGCAUUUAUCUUUCUUAAUGUGUGCAUUUCAGGGUGUGCUGUAACAACAUAUCAGGUAUCUGGCUUUGAAGUUCUCUGAGGUAAGGUCAGGCCCCCAUUGGGUGUAAAAUAGCAAAUAAAGAAAACGACCCAGCAUCUCACAUGCCCCCCUGCAGCCCGGGCACACUCACAGUACAAGGAUUCAGAAUUACUGGUUGGAGCUUCCAGAUUCCCCAACCCCCAGUGCUCCCAGGCAUACUUACGGGAAUCGAGGAGGACCAGGGGAGGAGCAUGUCCUCUGGGGUGGUGGUCGGUCUCCAGUGCCCUUGGGAGCACGAAGGUUUGAGUAAUUUGGGAUGACUUGCUGGGCUGGGCGGAUAACUCUCAUGCAAGGUCCAGGAACAGGAGGAAGUGGUUGCGAUGUCUGUACAAAAUGUUGGUAAGGAGCUCUGCCGUCUGGGAGGGUGAGAAAAUAAAGGCAGCAACUAUCAUUUCAGCCAACACA